GACAAGGAGGGACAUGGAGACAGGAUGUGGGACAUGGAGACAGGAUGACGGACAUGGAGGGACAAGGAGACAGGAUGACGGACAUGGAGGGACAUGGAGACAGGAUGAGGGACAUGGAGACAAGAUGUGGGACAUGGAGGGACAUGGAGACAGGAUGUGGGACAUGGAGACAGGAUUAGGGACAAGG
Molecule: long non-coding RNA, 187 nt
Organism: Xiphophorus couchianus (Monterrey platyfish)
Lineage: Eukaryota; Metazoa; Chordata; Actinopteri; Cyprinodontiformes; Poeciliidae
Exons: 3
Source: RefSeq, a predicted model, not a curated record